AUCUUGUGAAAUCCCACGGCUUAACCGUGGAAUCGCUCGGUAAACCCCAAGCCUUGAGCGCGACAGGGGCCGUCGGAACGGUUGGUGGAGCGGUGAAAUGCGUAGAUAUCAACCGGAACGCCAAAGGGGAAGCCAGACGGCUGGGUCGCUGCUGACGCUCAGGCACGAAAGCAUGGGUAGCGAACGGGAUUAGAUACCCCGGUAGUCCAUGCCCUAAACGAUGUGUACUAGGUCGAGGAGGUUUUGACGCCAUCUCGGCCGCAGCGAAAGCAUUAAGUACACCGCCUGGGGAGUACGGUCGCAAGGCUAAAACUCAAAGGAAUUGACGGGGGCUCACACAAGCGGUGGAGCAUGUGGCUUAAUUCGAGGCAACGCGAAGAACCUUAUCCUGGGUUUGACAUGGACGGAUUAGGCCCCCGAAAGGGGGUUCGACGCUCUCACGAGUGGAACGUUCACAGGUGCUGCAUGGCUGUCGUCAGCUCGUGCUGUGAAGUGUCGGGUUAAGUCCCUUAACGAGCGAAACCCCUGCCGUUAGUUGCCAGCAUUCAGUUGGGGACUCUAACGGGACCGCCGGUGUCAAACCGGAGGAAGGUGGGGACGACGUCAAGUCAUCAUGGCCUUUAUGCCCAGGGCUGCACACGUGCUACAAUGGCAUGGACAGAGCGAGGCGAUACGGCGACGUGGAGCAAAUCGCACAAACCAUGCCCCAGUUCGGAUUGUAGUCUGCAACUCGACUACAUGAAGUUGGAAUCGCUAGUAAUCGCGUAUCAGCUACGACGCGGUGAAUAAGUU
Molecule: ribosomal RNA, 792 nt
Filed under: uncultured Planctomycetota bacterium
Lineage: Bacteria; Pseudomonadati; Planctomycetota
Description: bacterial SSU rRNA
Rfam family: Bacterial small subunit ribosomal RNA
Source: RNAcentral